RNAcentral lists this long non-coding RNA (1446 nucleotides) under Cairina moschata (Muscovy duck). RNAcentral describes it as "domestica (muscovy Duck (domestic type)) lncRNA (ENSCMMG00000015756.1)". The record is from RNAcentral. Lineage: Eukaryota; Metazoa; Chordata; Aves; Anseriformes; Anatidae.
CCCAUUUACUGAUCCCAUGCCAGUUUCUCUGAUCUACCUGCAGUCACUUGGAUUAAUGCAAUAUUAGUUCUUCUAGUUGAGACGUCAGUAAUUGCAUUCAAUGAAAGCCCAUUAUGUAAUGGAGACUUGAAAAGUUCAGGGAUAAAUUAGACCAGAUGUUUUGGACAUGGUUUUGAUCAAUGCUCAUUAUUACUCCUUAAAGAUGUAACUAAAGCUUUGGCUUCAUGGACAGAUAAUUCAGUGUAACUGCAAGCUGCCCUGGAAACUAAGAAGCAGAUAAGUAGACCUCUGCUUUAGCAACAUUUAACAAAUGUCAUUUUUAAUUGGUGAUACACUCUGUAUUCUUUAAUGAGUGACACUAACAAUUCAGGCUCAUGUAAUUGGGAAUGGUUAUUUGAUUGCUGUGAAAUAGUGGGGCUCAAUUAUGCUGUCAUGAGGAAUAUAAUAAAAAGCAAGUUAGUGUCCACAGAAGCUGCAAGAAAGUAUGAGAUGGCAAGAACACUGCUAAUAGGGCCUGUCUCUGUUGUUAUACAAUGCAUUUGUAUUCACCCGAGACUGAGUUUAACAGGAAGUCUUUCCAGGGAUUCUUUCCUCAGAGAUGACAAAUGCAUUCACUUUGAGAAAUAGGGGCUGGUCCUCCUAAACAGGCUGGUGGUUCAGCCUAAUGGUCUGGUCCAUCCACAUCCUGAGCAUCCAAAUUCUGUUAAAAUUAUCUGGUUAGAGAUCAUACAGUGAGUAUCAAAGUUUACAUUUCAUUAAGUUGCAUGGUUUCAAAUCAUAUCAGAAUUUGGCUUUUUGCCUGAGCUACUACUUGCGUUUUUAUUGUUUAAUGAGUUGAUAAGUCUUCUUCCUAUCUGCUCAUUUUCUGAGUUUUAAAACAAAUGUUUUACUGUACAAUCUGUUGGUUUAAAUGAAAUUUGUACUGAGCAUUAAAAUCUAGUGGGAUGUUAUUUACAAAUUCCUCAGAUUUUCUGCCAGUAAUUGUCCUGUCAUGCUAACUGUGUGAUGACUUGCAUUACAGAAUUCAUCAGUAUUGUUGAUUUAGAUUCCUCCUGUGCAAUAUUAGUAUCCUAUACAUGGGUCCAAGAGGACAGCAAAGGAAGGUCAUCUCUUUUGCAUACCAGAGAUCAUGAUCAAUAGUGGAACAAGUUUGAAUAUUGCUUUACCAUCACCUUAGGGUACAGUAACACUGUGUUAGAAUAAAAAGUUCUCAAGAAACAAAACAAACCAACCAACCACCACCAACAAAAACAAACAAACAAACAAAAUCAGGAGAGCCAGCAAAAGUGUAAGAUACUUUCCACAAACUUUUAAUCUUUUCCUUAGUCACAGCUGAACAUUUUAGAAUCCAAGAUUUAUUAUAAUUGGAAACAAGGAGCUGUCUCAUUUCACUGACAUGAGAGGAAAAGUCUUAGUCACAAAGUGCUGUAGUGAUCAUUUCUAUUG